GUUUGAUAUGGCUCAGGAUGAACGCUGGCGGCGUGCUUAACACAUGCAAGUCGAACGAAGCACUUUUACAGAUUUCUUCGGAAUGAAGUUUAGUGACUGAGUGGCGGACGGGUGAGUAACGCGUGGGUAACCUGCCUCACACUGGGGGACAACAGUUAGAAAUGACUGCUAAUACCGCAUAAGCGCACAGGACCGCAUGGUCCAGUGUGAAAAACUCCGGUGGUGUGAGAUGGACCCGCGUUUGAUUAGCUAGUUGUGGGGUAACGGCCUACCAAGGCGACGAUCAGUAGCCGGACUGAGAGGUUGAACGGCCACAUUGGGACUGAGAUACGGCCCAGACUCCUACGGGAGGCAGCAGUGGGGAAUAUUGGGCAAUGGGCGCAAGCCUGACCCAGCAACGCCGCGUGAAGGAAGAAGGCUUUCGGGUUGUAAACUUCUUUUGUCAGGGACGAGCAGAAGACGGUACCUGACGAAUAAGCCACGGCUAACUACGUG
RNAcentral lists this ribosomal RNA (495 nucleotides) under uncultured bacterium. RNAcentral's name for it is "bacterial SSU rRNA". It matches the Rfam family "Bacterial small subunit ribosomal RNA", at positions 11 to 507 of the family's 1533-position model. The record is from RNAcentral.